Dipodomys spectabilis (banner-tailed kangaroo rat) is the source of this 434-nucleotide non-coding RNA. The record is from the annotation of a RefSeq genome assembly. NCBI's taxonomy places the organism in Eukaryota, Metazoa, Chordata, Mammalia, Rodentia, Heteromyidae.
GAUCUGGAAUCAUUACAAUUUGUCUCAAGGACUGAGAGAUCACGAUGGAGAACGUGUUACAGUGCAUAUUCCUGGUCUUGCUUCAAUUUGGCUGGCUGCAUGGGAAAGAUGAGGUGGAGCAGAGUCCUGAGAGCCUGAGCCUCCAGGAGGGAGGCAGUGGCAGCCUCAACUGCAGCUACACCACCAGCAAUUUUGGAGGACUCCUGUGGUACAGGCAAGAUGCUGGGAGAGGCCCCACAUUCCUCUUCAUCCUGUAUUCAGCUGGGGAUGCAAAGCAGAAAGACAGACUAAGAGCUACAUUAUCAAAAAAGGGAAGUGUUUUGCAUAUCACCACUGCUAACCCUGAAGACUCAGCCACUUACCUAUGUGCUGUGUAUGCACAGUGCUCCCCAGGCAUCUGCUGGCUGCACCAAAACCCUGCAGCAGGACUCUGA